This 70-nucleotide transfer RNA is filed under the name Dipodomys ordii (Ord's kangaroo rat). It matches the Rfam family "tRNA". From Rfam's summary of the family: Transfer RNA (tRNA) molecules are approximately 80 nucleotides in length. Their secondary structure includes four short double-helical elements and three loops (D, anti-codon, and T loops). The record is from Rfam by way of RNAcentral. Lineage: Eukaryota; Metazoa; Chordata; Mammalia; Rodentia; Heteromyidae.
GGGAAUGUGGCUUAGUGGUAGAGUGCUUGCUUAGCAUGCAUGGAGUCCUGGGUUCAAUUCCUCAGUACCA